This is a long non-coding RNA of Oncorhynchus kisutch (coho salmon), 5005 nucleotides long. RefSeq lists it as uncharacterized. Lineage: Eukaryota; Metazoa; Chordata; Actinopteri; Salmoniformes; Salmonidae. The transcript has 4 exons. The record is from RefSeq and is a predicted model, not a curated record.
CUGUCUGGGUCGCUACAAUAUUUAAUCAUUUCUGCCCACCGAAUUCAUAUUCGUUAUACACUAUAAAAAAUGACCCACGGGCUUAGUAAAUAUUGCAAAAGAAAAUCAAUGAUUUUUACUAAAAGUAAUAGGUUUCUGGUUUUACUUACAUUGUUGAAUAUAGUCCUUAGUUGAUGUGUUGAAAACACUGGCAUUUGCAAAUAAAAAUCCAAGAUCUAGUUAUGAACGUCAGUUGUGCUUGGAACAUUUCAACAGACGUCGUCUUGAUCUUUCUCCUCUGGAAAGGCCUUGUGGCAGGUGUUCAGACGUUCCUGAGUACUGGACAGACCAUAUUUUCCAGAAUACAUUGACAAGGAAAACGAGAUGCAUCUCAGAUCUACCUGUCUGUUUCUCUCUUCUUCACCUGUCUCACUGCCCUCCACGCUGGUUUUCCGAUGACAGACAGACAGCUACCUAGCCUAAACCCCGCCUCCCCUCUGAAUCGGUAUCUCCCUGGAAUGUUCCAGAAUGCCUGAACUUAGCAUGCCUGCUGCUGUUUGUGUUAUCUUUAUCAAUCAAUAUGACUAUAUGAUUUAAGUUAUGAUAUUGAUCAUUUUGGCUGAUGGACUGAGAGGAAUAAGCUAUUGACUGACUCCAUGCUUGAUGACUUUACAAUCACAGAGAGCUGUUGACUGACUCCAUGCUUGAUGACUUUACAAUCACAGAGAGCUGUUGACUUCAGAUACUGGAUGACUUUCAAACACAACCACCAAAGUUGUGCUUCUUUGGAAAACCGUUCUAAAACCAAACCUGCUGGUUGAAAUAUGACAUUGCAGGAUGGUGAUGAAUCAACUGGAGGCUGGCUGGCUGCUGAAGGAUGGAUGAACACAAUGGACUCAACUUCCACAUUGUUCUGUUCAUAACUCAUCAGUCUUUGGUCUACGCACCACAAACACAUCAAGUAUCUACUAUUAAAUGUGAGCUGGGUUUUCACUGUUGGAAAUGGAUGGACUGUUUCAGGAAAAACCUUCAAGUCACAUCAUAUAUGCAAUCUAAGACUUACUAAACCAGUUGACUUAGUUGGCUUGCUGCAACACAAGAAUCAUUACUGACCACCUACUUCUGUGUUGGACUACUAGGUGAAACCGCCAUUCUGUUAGAAGGAACAACUUACAAUGUGAUGGACUACUAGGUGAAACAGCCAUUCUGUUAGAAGGAACAACUUACAAUGUGAUGGACUACUAGGUAAAACAGCCAUUCUGUUAGAAGGAACAACAUUACAAUGUGAUGGACUACUAGGUAAAACAGCCUCUCAAAACUCCAAAGAUUGUAUUUUCUUCAACACUUAGUUUUUAUUUCUGUAAUGCUUCAGGGAAAUGUAAAGACAAGGUCCUGGACAGUAACAGGAUUAUUGUCUUUCUGUCUGAGACUCUGUCAUCAUAGAGAUCUAGUAGUUUAUUUAGAUCAGGGUUGGGCUCAAUUCCUUUACAUUUCAGGAAGUAAACUGAAAGUCCAAUUCCUUUACAUUUCAGGAAGUAAACUGAAAGUCUAAUUCCAAUUUUCCUCAAUGCCACUCUGAGAUAAUGUCAGUUUACUUCCUGAAUUGACUGUAUUGACAUUGAACUGACCCCAACACUGAUCUAGAGAUAAGAGACUGUAGUCCUCGAGGGGGAGAAGAGGUGAGGGGAGGCAGGGAGCAGCGUUGCUCUUGGGGGGGUAGUGGUGAGGGGAGGGGAGGCAGAGGACAUCCCAGUCUGGAGUAGCAGAGAUGAGGGGAGACAGAGGACAGCCCAGUCUGGUGUAUCAGAGAUGAGGGGAGACGGAGGACAGCCCAGUCUGAUCACUGGAGGUUCUCUUGCUACAGAGAUGGUCUAUAGAAGCCUUUUAGUAGCUGACAUUCCUAACCUCAACUGAGAGGGUCUCUGUCCCUCUGAUGGCCCUGUUGGUGUCUCUCUGUGUGUGUCCUGUCCUGUUUGCUGUCUGGGACAAAGGGAGGUUGUUGUGGAUAUUGAGGGGGGUGGAGUUAGUAGUCUUUUGGCAGCAUGACCCUGCGACCCCCCAUGAAAUAACACAAGGUGAUCUUCCUUCUGAAAGGAAUGUUGUCCAGGGCCUCCACUGCCACCCUCAUGUUGCCCCUGACGCUGCUCUCCUCCUGGUCGUACAUGGGACACAUGUAGGCUGUUCGCCUCAGGGCGUAGAUGUCCACCUCGUCCUCGUCGUCCCACGGCUGGUAGGGCUGCUGGGAGGGAACGGCUGACUUGACCAGACGGGGUCUCAUCAUGGCCAGCUCUAAGUCACGGGGGAUAUGCCUCAGACCCAGGCUAGACCUCUGGACUCUGGCUCCUUUAAAUUUACAUUACAUUAUGUUACAUUCAUUUAUUAGUAAUUCAUUUAUGAAUGUUUAAAACAUGACAAUCAUAUUCCUGGUUGUACAUCAGCAAACAACAUAUACAAUAUUGACAAUAUAUUCAAUAGAGAAAAUGUGUCAUUGCACAAAGAGAAGUGCUGACCUUUCUUUCUCUUCUUCUUGGUCUUAUCAUCCCAGGCGUUGGCACUGACAAGGGACACGUUGCCCUGGCCCAGGGAGGGCAGCAGUUUGGGCCGGGGGGCCACCGGGGGUUUGGGGACCUUCUUUGGAGGAGGAGCAUCCCUCUGGGCUCUCCUGGCCAGCAGGGGUCCUGUCUGGACGAAGGCCUCAGGCCUGAUGAUGUCCCUGGGUGGGCUGCUCCUCCCUCUGGCAGCCUCCUCUGGCUGGGCAGCUUUCGGCAUGGAGAGAACAAACACAUUGUUGCUGAAGCUGCAUGACUCUGAAAGGGCCGGCUCCUCCAGGGUCAGAGGGCAGGUAGGACGGAGCUCAGGCUGGACUAUGUCCACAGUGCUGGUGGUGAUGCUCACAGGACUGGUAGGUUGGGACUCAAGCAUAACGGAACACACAGGAUUACUGGGCUUAACUUUUCUCCUAGUGGUGUUCCGAGGGUUGCUAGGCCUUCCCUCAGGUCUGGAAGGCUGAACAUCAUGCUGGACCAGGCCCACGGGUCUAACAGGCCGUCUAGUGGGGCCCAGAGGGUUGCUAGGCCUCCCCUCAGGUCUGGAAGGCUGUACAUCAGGCUGGACCAGGCCCACUGGUCUAACAGGCCGUCUAGUGGUUCGCCGAGGGUUGCUAGGCCUCCCCUCAGGUCUGGAAGGCUGUACAUCAGGUUGGACCAGGCCUACGGGGCUAACAGGCCUUCUAGUGGGGCGCCGAGGGUUGCUAGGCCUCCCCUCAGGUCUAGUGAUGCUGACAGGGAUUCUAGGUGUCAUCUCAUUCUGGUACAGGCUCUCUGGGCUGUUGGGCCGGGAAUCAGGCAGAAGCUUGUAGUUCUUCAGAACCUCAGUGAAGGAAAGCUCCUUGUUGCGCCUGCGUCUGUUGGUUUUGGCAGGUAGCUGGGAGCUGCUGCUGUUAAACCAACCGGGAGACUCACGACAUCCAUCCUGGACAGGAACCAGGGUCUGGAGGUCUCUCCUCUUUCUGUGGGCAGCUGUGGGCCUCUUGGGCCUGAUUUCGUCAGGAGGGGGAGCACGAGGUACAACAUGCAGGGAGGGGAAUGCUGAGGGCCUGAAAGAGGAGGCCAUCACUGGGGCCUGGCUGACCUCUUCUCUCUCCAGCAGCACUCUGUUAGAAGGACAGAGCAGCGGAACACCGAUGGACCUUGGUCCUCCAGACCCAUUCAGGUUGGGCCUCCUAUUCAUCAUUCACUGGUCUGCAGUAUUCUAAUCAGAAUGCUCCUUCUAGUCUUGAAUACUUGGAAUAGGAAGUGGCUUUCAGCACCAUUAAACUCUAUAAAAAGAGCCACAGAAACAUCUUUGUUUAGUAUUUGGGGAAAUUUUUUAAAAUGUUUUACUGUCUCAUCUAAUUUCAUCACAUUCAGUUCUGAGUUUAAAUAAUUAUUUGGGACAAGAUAUAUUCAUUAAAAUGUAACAAGUUUGUUCAAUUCAUUUCUAAUAGCCUAGAUAUAACUAGUGGUCAAUAAAACUAUCCCCUCAUUUAUCUGAUAAACAGACAGACAGGUGUACUUACCGUUCACCUUGCAGUUCAAUCAGCUAAUGAUCCGUCAUUUCACCAGUGGCAGCUUGGUGUUUGAUCAUUACGUCAUCAGAGGCAUUUUGUAUUGUGACGCAACAAUGCCAAGCAUCAACCUUCCUGUCAUGGCUGCCCCUGUAGUUUAAUAUGUCAACGAAGUGUAUUAAUCAAUCAGACAAUCAAACCAUCAAUGAAUGACUGAAUUAAUGAAGCAAUUUCUAAUAAAUCAGCUUAAGUGUACUGACAUGAUUAAUGGAGGAGACGAACAAUUACGAAAACGCAUCAAUCAAUCAAUGAUGCGUAAAAGUAGAUUCGCUCCCACAUAGUAAAGUUCGACAACGAACCACUUUAGUGAGUCAAUAAACUAUCCAAGACUUUGGACGAGGUAUAUUUGUCCCAAUACUGUAGGACAGGCCGUUCUGCCGUUUUAUAUAAACUAAUCUUCUGCAUACGGGUUUUACUCUUUCCUGUGUUCAUCUCCCUCGACUAUAUAUAUCUAUUCUGUGGCCACCACACGUUUUAUAUGUCAUGUUUGUCUUGUAGCUGACAGUGGGGUGAAGACAGGAGCGCAGUUCAACUGACACGAAGGCGCGGACUGGGGAAAUCCGACAUGGAGACCUGACGCCACUUUUACGCGCACUUUCGGAUUGGUCUACUUUGAAAUGAACAUAAAUAUUAUCGUAACAUACUGGAGGUUGGGCUCAGUGUUCAAGUGUUGGUUUUACACAUGUUGAUAUAGAGAAAUAUAGUCUAAUAGUGGAUCGUCCUUCUGCAGUGUUGGUGGGGUAAAUAAACUGAUGUGCUUUGGCCUGUAUUCUUUUUGUAUGUUAUUCUUUUUAAAUAUUUCGGAAUUCCUGAUCUCGUUUAUUAAACAAUUACUUAUUCAAUAAUUAUUUGGUUUAUUUAGCUUAUCUUGUGUACAUGUUAUACCCAAUGGCCUGAACAUAGAAAUAAGAAUGAAUAGAA